Scleropages formosus (Asian bonytongue) is the source of this 285-nucleotide long non-coding RNA. RefSeq lists it as uncharacterized. The transcript is spliced from 3 exons. The record is from RefSeq and is a predicted model, not a curated record. NCBI's taxonomy places the organism in Eukaryota, Metazoa, Chordata, Actinopteri, Osteoglossiformes, Osteoglossidae.
GUUGAGGAGUGCUGUUACUGGACCAUUACACUCACCGCAUAGAGGUACUGAGGAUCAUGGUGCACUGUGCAGACCUCAGCAAUCCCACGAAGCCACUGGCCGUGUACCACCAGUGCACCGAACGUAUCAUGAAAAAAUUCUUCAGAUGGGGACAAGGAGCGCGAACGCGGCAUGGAGAUCAGUGCUAUGUGUGAUAGACACACCUCAUCUGUGGUGAAGAGUCAGGUUCUUCUCAUGUCUGAUCUUGGUGUGGUGUGGAACAGAACUUAACUUUUUGGGGACCCC